UACGGGGGGAGCAAGCGUUGUUCGGAUUUACUGGGCGUAAAGAGCUCGUAGGCGGUUUGUCGCGUUGUUCGUGAAAACUCACAGCUUAACUGUGGGCGUGCGGGCGAUACGGGCAGACUGGAGUACUGCAGGGGAGACUGGAAUUCCUGGUGUAGCGGUGGAAUGCGCAGAUAUCAGGAGGAACACCGGUGGCGAAGGCGGGUCUCUGGGCAGUAACUGACGCUGAGGAGCGAAAGCGUGGGGAGCGAACAGG
This 253-nucleotide ribosomal RNA is filed under the name uncultured bacterium. Its description in RNAcentral is "partial 16S ribosomal RNA". It matches the Rfam family "Bacterial small subunit ribosomal RNA", at positions 524 to 776 of the family's 1533-position model. The record is from RNAcentral.